AUGGCCGACGGUGACAACAACAUCGGGGGGUUACUCCCAACCGACGUCCUCAUCGAGGUCUUGCUGCGCCUCCCGACGAGCUCCCGACGGCGGUUCCGUCUAGCCUGUCGGCUCUGGCGCGACAUCAUCGACACACACACCACCGAGAUGCAGAGCCGCCCCAAGAUGCUCGUCGCCACCGUCGAUGCAAUACACCUUGUCGAGGAGGACGACCUACCAUCAUCGCGAUGGACCGGCGCCGACUACGACUACGAUGGCAUGAGCCUUGUCGGCACCUGCAACGGCCUCGUCUGCAUGUACGACAGCCAAGACCCUGACGGGCCCAUCAUCCUUGCAAAUCCGGUCACCGGCGAGAUGCUGGCCAUAACGCCGCCGCCCCCGAUGAGGCACACGAAGGCCACUUCGGACUCACGUCUGACGUUCACCUUCACGUACCACCCCACGACGGGGCGGUAUAAGGUCAUGCACGUCCCGUACAGCUUCGACAGGGUCUGGGUGUUCACGCUCGGGGAGGCGCUCUGGCGAGACGUCGCCACGGGCAGCCCAACGGAGAUAUACGACGUCAGCAAGGGCAUGAUCAGCAUCGAUGGCACGGUAUACUGGGCGGUGAAGGGCGGGGAGGCGAAGGUCGUGUCCUUUGACCUCGACAGCGAGCACGUCGCAUCCGUCAGGCCGUUGCCAAAAGUGCUGUCUAGACACGGUAGCUGGCACCUUGUGGAGGCGCGCGGGAGGCUGGGCGUGGCGUUUAGCCGCGGGUGGUGGACGGCGGACAAAACGGAGGUGUGGGUCAUGGAGCAUGCGAUGGCGGGACGACGGCGUACGUGGAGCCGCUGGUACAACAUAAUAAUGGAGAAGCCAGUAGAUCAACUCGCGCACCAGCAUCAGCUCACACUACCAAGCUUUACUACUCAUGAUAGUGAGUACAUCCUGACGAUGAGAUGGGAGUGGGACUUGUUACUAGAGCUAGGACGUUAUCAUGGUUAUGUCUUGUACAAACACAAGCCAAGCAAUGACGUAAAGAAGCAGGCACGGCAUGGCGUGGUAGAAAUCGGCGAGAGGGACCGCGGCGCUGAGGUUGCUGUUAUACCAACUCACCACAUCCGCCCCCGGACCUUCGCCUACGUCGAGACCACAGAACCUUUGAGUGUUUAUAGG
Molecule: ribosomal RNA, 1155 nt
Filed under: Triticum aestivum (bread wheat)
Lineage: Eukaryota; Viridiplantae; Streptophyta; Magnoliopsida; Poales; Poaceae
Description: partial small subunit ribosomal RNA
Source: RNAcentral